Molecule: ribosomal RNA, 440 nt
Filed under: uncultured bacterium
Lineage: Bacteria
Description: partial 16S ribosomal RNA
Rfam family: Bacterial small subunit ribosomal RNA
Source: RNAcentral
CCUACGGGAGGCAGCAGUAGGGAAUAUUGCUCAAUGGGGGAAACCCUGAAGCAGCAACGCCGCGUGGAGGAUGAAGAUUUUCGGAUUGUAAACUCCUUUUGUUAGAGAAGAUAAUGACGGUAUCUAACGAAUAAGCACCGGCUAACUCCGUGCCAGCAGCCGCGGUAAUACGGAGGGUGCAAGCGUUACUCGGAAUCACUGGGCGUAAAGAGCGCGUAGGCGGGAUAGCAAGUCAGAUGUGAAAUCCUAUGGCUUAACCAUAGAACUGCAUUUGAAACUGUUAUUCUAGAGUAUGGGAGAGGUAGGUGGAAUGCUUGGUGUAGGGGUAAAAUCCGUAGAGAUCAAGAGGAAUACUCAUUGCGAAGGCGACCUGCUGGAACAUUACUGACGCUGAUGCACGAAAGCGUGGGGAGCAAACAGGAUUAGAUACCCCUGUAGUC